This is a non-coding RNA of Dipodomys ordii (Ord's kangaroo rat), 65 nucleotides long. Lineage: Eukaryota; Metazoa; Chordata; Mammalia; Rodentia; Heteromyidae. The record is from Rfam.
GGUGGCUCAAUGGGAGAGUGCUUGCCUUGCAUGCAUGAGGCCCUGGGUUCGAUUCCCCAGCACCA